Molecule: unclassified non-coding RNA, 314 nt
Filed under: uncultured fungus
Lineage: Eukaryota; Fungi
Description: partial contains 5.8S ribosomal RNA, internal transcribed spacer 2, and large subunit ribosomal RNA
Source: RNAcentral
AACGCAUCUUGCACCCUUGGGUAUUCCCUUGGGUAUGUCUGUCUGAGUGUCAUUUGAACUCUCAAAGCCCCCUUCCUUUGAUAGGGUUGGAGCGCUUUGGAUCGUGGGCGCUUGUGAGCCUGGCUCGCUCGUCUGAAAUCAAAUGUGGUGGUUUUCUCUAAAGCCUGUGUCGGGUUUGACCUGGAGUGAUAGAAGUCUUUCGAGAUCUCUGGGGACUGCCUUUUUGGCGACCUGCCGAGGUGGGAGAGAUUGCCUACUAAGGCUCAUCUGACGUUUUUGACCUCAGAUCAGGCAGGACUACCCGCUGAACUUAA